GGCGCAGGUCACAGGACCGUCCAGUUCGUCCUUACAAGGAGGGGGUCGGGGGUUCGAGUCCCUCCGCGCCC
RNAcentral lists this transfer RNA (71 nucleotides) under Acidimicrobiales bacterium. Its description in RNAcentral is "tRNA-Val". Lineage: Bacteria; Bacillati; Actinomycetota; Acidimicrobiia; Acidimicrobiales. The record is from RNAcentral.